UCGAGACCGAUAGCAAACAAGUACCAUGAGGGAAAGAUGAAAAGGACUUUGAAAAGAGAGUUAAAAGUGCCUGAACUUGCUGAAAGGAAAGCGGAUGGAACCAGUUUUGCUUGGUGAGAUUGUCGCACGCAGCAAUGAUCACCUUCUAUUCCAGCGAAAGCGGGGCGGUGGGCUGUGAUUUGUUCGGUGUGAUGUUUCUUGCCUUGUGUGUCAUCAUCAGUUUGGAGGUGGGGACAACUCUUGGGACCUGGUAGCUCGCCCCUGGGUGAGUGAAUGUGCCUUGCGGGACCCACCAACAAACAGUUCAACCUUUGUGGGGCUGCGUUGCUUCGUGUUGCGUGCUCUGGCGAGCUUCACACGCGUGGCACCUUCCUUACAAGCUAAUGUGACGAAA
Molecule: ribosomal RNA, 394 nt
Filed under: Gymnodinium catenatum
Lineage: Eukaryota; Dinophyceae; Gymnodiniales; Gymnodiniaceae
Description: LSU rRNA
Rfam family: Eukaryotic large subunit ribosomal RNA
Source: RNAcentral